GACGAACGCUGGCGGCGUGCUUAACACAUGCAAGUCGAACGGAAAGGCCCUGCUUUUGUGGGGUGCUCGAGUGGCGAACGGGUGAGUAACACGUGAGUAACCUGCCCUUGACUUUGGGAUAACUUCAGGAAACUGGGGCUAAUACCGGAUAGGAGCUCCUGCUGCAUGGUGGGGGUUGGAAAGUUUCGGCGGUUGGGGAUGGACUCGCGGCUUAUCAGCUUGUUGGUGGGGUAGUGGCUUACCAAGGCCUUGACGGGUAGCCGGCCUGAGAGGGUGACCGGCCACAUUGGGACUGAGAUACGGCCCAGACUCCUACGGGAGGCAGCAGUGGGGAAUAUUGCACAAUGGGCGGAAGCCUGAUGCAGCAACGCCGCGUGCGGGAUGACGGCCUUCGGGUUGUAAACCGCUUUCGCCUGUGACGAAGCGUGAGCGACGGUAAUGGGUAAAGAAGCACCGGCUAACUACGUG
Molecule: ribosomal RNA, 468 nt
Filed under: uncultured bacterium
Lineage: Bacteria
Description: partial 16S ribosomal RNA
Rfam family: Bacterial small subunit ribosomal RNA
Source: RNAcentral